This is a long non-coding RNA of Lagopus muta (rock ptarmigan), 147 nucleotides long. RefSeq lists it as uncharacterized. The transcript has 3 exons. NCBI's taxonomy places the organism in Eukaryota, Metazoa, Chordata, Aves, Galliformes, Phasianidae. The record is from RefSeq and is a predicted model, not a curated record.
UGUUGAUGUGGACUGGAUGGGCUCUUUGUUCUUCUGUCCAACUAGAGAAUGUCUUUGAUUUAUCUGGAUUAAUAAUCUUCAUUCAGAAAGCCUUGAAAACAGCUUAUUAACCUUUCCUGCAAUAGCAGUUUCUCAUCUGUGAGAAGA